Molecule: ribosomal RNA, 492 nt
Filed under: uncultured bacterium
Lineage: Bacteria
Description: partial 16S ribosomal RNA
Rfam family: Bacterial small subunit ribosomal RNA
Source: RNAcentral
AGUGAACGCUGGCGGUAGGCCUAAUACAUGCAAGUCGAACGGCAGCAUAAUAAGAUUUUUCUUUUACGGGUGGCGAGUGGCGGACGGGUGAGGAAUAGAUCACAAUCUACUAAGUCGGGGAGGAUUUCGUAGGGAAACUGACGCUAAUACCGCAUACGUCCUACGGGUGGAAUCAAUAGAGCAUGGGACUUUGCCUGUUUGAAUGAGACGAUGUCGGAUUAGCUAGUUGGCGGGGUAAGGUCGCACCAAGGCGACGAUCCGUAGCUGGUCUGAGAGGAUGAUCAGCCACACUGGAACUGAGACACGGUCCAGACUCCUACGGGAGGCGGCAGUGGGGAAUAUUGGACAAUGGGCGCAAGCCUGAUCCAGCCAUACCGCGUGGGUGAAGAAGGCCUUCGGGUUGUAAAGCCCUUUUGUUGGGAAAGAAAAGCAGCAGGUUAAUACCCCGCUGUUCUGACGGUACCCAAAGAGUAAGCACCGGCUAACUUCGUG